GGGAUUCAUAGAUUUUUGAAGAUAAUCUCAAGGACAUUUCAAGAAACUCAAAUCUUGAAACUUUUAGGGAUUGACAAAGAGAUCGUGACUCAUUGGCGUUAUUGGAUCAUUUGUGAUAAGGUUGGAAGCAAUUUAAGGGACUAGACCUGAGCAACUUGGACCGUGUGGAUAGGGCAGCUCUACAUUUCCCGUUAACGUUCUUUGGUGAGACUCCACGCUUGUAUUUGUGGAGGACUUUAUUAUAUUAAAUCCUUUUAAGCCACCGGGUUAUGCCUUGGCUGACUAUUCCAUUUCGUGUUAUUGAGAUUCCAUAGACAACAAUAUAUUCAUUUUGGGUUGUAAUCUUAUGGUUACUUACAU
Non-coding RNA from Nicotiana tabacum (common tobacco), 360 nucleotides. The record is from RefSeq and is a predicted model, not a curated record. Lineage: Eukaryota; Viridiplantae; Streptophyta; Magnoliopsida; Solanales; Solanaceae.